RNAcentral lists this ribosomal RNA (342 nucleotides) under uncultured soil bacterium. Its description in RNAcentral is "bacterial SSU rRNA". It matches the Rfam family "Bacterial small subunit ribosomal RNA", at positions 26 to 390 of the family's 1533-position model. The record is from RNAcentral.
AGAACGAACGCUGGCGGCAUGCCUAAUACAUGCAAGUCGAACGAGAUCCUUCGGGGUCUAGUGGCGCACGGGUGCGUAACGCGUGGGAAUCUACCCUUGGGUUCGGAAUAACAGUUGGAAACGACUGCUAAUACCGGAUGAUGACGAAAGUCCAAAGAUUUAUCGCCCAGGGAUGAGCCCGCGUAGGAUUAGCUAGUUGGUGAGGUAAAGGCUCACCAAGGCUACGAUCCUUAGCUGGUCUGAGAGGAUGAUCAGCCACACUGGGACUGAAGACGACCGGCCAGACCUCCGUACGGGAGCGAGACGGUAGGGAAUAUUGGAACAAGUGGGGGACCAAACCGU